UCAAACUGGCUGAUAUGGUUUUUCGGC
RNAcentral lists this small RNA (27 nucleotides) under Bombyx mori (domestic silkworm). RNAcentral describes it as "ovarian small RNA-24433". The record is from RNAcentral. Lineage: Eukaryota; Metazoa; Arthropoda; Insecta; Lepidoptera; Bombycidae.